GAUGGUUUAACCCCCUCCCCUACUA
RNAcentral lists this transfer RNA (25 nucleotides) under Corythornis cristatus (Malachite kingfisher). RNAcentral's name for it is "partial tRNA-Met". Lineage: Eukaryota; Metazoa; Chordata; Aves; Coraciiformes; Alcedinidae. The record is from RNAcentral. RNAcentral also lists the same sequence under 9 other names.